AAUAGAUACCCGGGUAGUCCACGCCCUAAACGAUGUCUACUAGUUGUUGGUGGAGUAAAAUCCAUUAGUAACGCAGCUAACGCGUGAAGUAGACCGCCUGGGGAGUACGGUCGCAAGAUUAAAACUCAAAGGAAUUGACGGGGGCCCGCNACAAGCGGUGGAUUAUGUGGAUUAAUUCGAUGCAACGCGAAAAACCUUACCUGGCCUUGACAUGCCACUAACGAAGCAGAGAUGCAUUAGGUGCCCGAAAGGGAAAGUGGACACAGGUGCCGCAUGGCUGUCGUCAGCUCGUGUCGUGAGAUGUUGGGUUAAGUCCCGCAACGAGCGCAACCCUUGCCAAUAAUUGCCAUCAUUCAGUUGGGCACUUUAUUGGGACUGCCGGUGACAAACCGGAGGAAGGUGGGGAUGACGUCAAGUCCUCAUGGCCCUUAUGGCCAGGGCUUCACACGUAAUACAAUGGUCGGUACAGAGGGUAGCCAAGCCGCGAGGUGGAGCUAAUCCCAGAAAGCCGAUCGUAGUCCGGAUUGCAGU
RNAcentral lists this ribosomal RNA (531 nucleotides) under uncultured bacterium. RNAcentral describes it as "bacterial SSU rRNA". It matches the Rfam family "Bacterial small subunit ribosomal RNA", at positions 777 to 1304 of the family's 1533-position model. The record is from RNAcentral.